GUCGAGCGAACAGAGAAGGAGCUUGCUCCUUUGACGUUAGCGGCGGACGGGUGAGUAACACGUGGGCAACCUACCCUAUAGUUUGGGAUAACUCCGGGAAACCGGGGCUAAUACCGAAUAAUCUUUUGUCCCUCAUGGGACAAUACUGAAAGACGGUUUCGGCUGUCGCUAUAGGAUGGGCCCGCGGCGCAUUAGCUAGUUGGUGAGGUAACGGCUCACCAAGGCAACGAUGCGUAGCCGACCUGAGAGGGUGAUCGGCCACACUGGGACUGAGACACGGCCCAGACUCCUACGGGAGGCAGCAGUAGGGAAUCUUCCACAAUGGGCGAAAGCCUGAUGGAGCAACGCCGCGUGAGUGAAGAAGGAUUUCGGUUCGUAAAACUCUGUUGUAAGGGAAGAACAAGUACAGUAGUAACUGGCUGUACCUUGACGGUACCUUAUUAGAAAGCCACGGCUAACUACGUGCCAGCAGCCGCGGUAAUACGUAGGUGGCAAGCGUUGUCCGGAAUUAUUGGGCGUAAAGCGCGCGCAGGUGGUUUCUUAAGUCUGAUGUGAAAGCCCACGGCUCAACCGUGGAGGGUCAUUGGAAACUGGGAGACUUGAGUGCAGAAGAGGAUAGUGGAAUUCCAAGUGUAGCGGUGAAUGCGUAGAGAUUUGGAGGAACACCAGUGGCGAAGCGACUAUCUGGUCUGUAACUGACACUGAGGCGCGAAAGCGUGGGGAGCAACAGGAUUAGAUACCCUGGUAGUCCACGCCGUAACGAUGAGUGCUAAGUGUAGGGGGUUCCGCCCUUAGUGCUGCAGCUAACGCAUUAAGCACUCCGCCUGGGAGUACGU
Molecule: ribosomal RNA, 836 nt
Rfam family: Bacterial small subunit ribosomal RNA